GGAGUUUGGGCCGUGUCUCAGUCCCAAUGUGGCCGUACACCCUCUCAGGCCGGCUACUGAUCGUCGCUUUGGUGGGCCGUUACCCCGCCAACUGGCUAAUCAGACGCGGGUCCAUCUCACACCACCGGAGUUUUUCACACCAUACCAUGCGGUAUUGUGCGCUUAUGCGGUAUUAUCAGCCGUUUCCAACUGCUAUCCCCCAGUGUGAGGCAGGUUACCCACGCGUUACUCACCCGUCCGCCACUAAGAUUUAACAAGAUUCUGCCGAAGCUUCAUCAGCGUUAAAUCUCCGUUCGACUUGCAUGUGUUAGGCACGCCGCCAGCGUUCAUC
This 331-nucleotide ribosomal RNA is filed under the name uncultured Butyrivibrio sp. RNAcentral describes it as "partial 16S ribosomal RNA". Lineage: Bacteria; Bacillati; Bacillota; Clostridia; Lachnospirales; Lachnospiraceae. The record is from RNAcentral.